AUUGAACGCUGGCGGCAGGCUUAACACAUGCAAGUCGAGCGGUAGCACAGGGUAGCUUGCUCCCUGGGUGACGAGCGGCGGACGGGUGAGUAAUGUCUGGGAAACUGCCUGAUGGAGGGGGAUAACUACUGGAAACGGUAGCUAAUACCGCAUAACGUCGCAAGACCAAAGAGGGGGACCUUCGGGCCUCUUGCCAUCAGAUGUGCCCAGAUGGGAUUAGCUAGUAGGUGGGGGAAUGGCUCACCUAGGCGACGAUCCCUAGCUGGUCUGAGAGGAUGACCAGCCACACUGGAGCUGAGACACGGUCCAGACUACUACGGAGGCAGCAGUGGGGAAUAUUGCACAAUGGGCGCAAGCCUGAUGCAGCCAUGCCGCGUGUGUGAAGAAGGCCUUCGGGUUGUAAAGCACUUUCAGCGAGGAGGAAGGUGGUGAACUUAAUACGCUCAUCAAUUGACGUUACUCGCAGAAGAAGCACCGGCUAACUCCGUGCCAGCCGCCGCGGUAA
Molecule: ribosomal RNA, 505 nt
Filed under: uncultured bacterium
Lineage: Bacteria
Description: partial 16S ribosomal RNA
Rfam family: Bacterial small subunit ribosomal RNA
Source: RNAcentral